GACGAACGCGGCGGCGUGCUUAACACAUGCAAGUCGAACGGAGCGAAUGAAAGCUUGCUUUUAUAAGCUUAGUGGCAAACAGGUGAGUAACACGUAGACAACCUGCCGACAGGAUGGGGACAACAUUCCGAAAGGAAUGCUAAUACCGAAUGAAGUGCAGGGGAGGCAUCUCCCCUGCAUGAAAGAUGGCCUCUGAAUAUGCUAUUACCUGUUGAUGGGUCUGCGUCUGAUUAGCUGGUAGGUGAGGUAACGGCUCACCUAGGCGACGAUCAGUAGCCGGUCUGAGAGGAUGAACGGCCACAUUGGGACUGAGACACGGCCCAGACUCCUACGGGAGGCAGCAGUGGGGAAUCUUCCGCAAUGGGCGCAAGCCUGACGGAGCAACGCCGCGUGAGUGAAGAAGGUCUUCGGAUCGUAAAGCUCUGUUGAUGGGGACGAACAUGCCUAAUGCGAAUAGUUUUAGGUAAUGACG
This 472-nucleotide ribosomal RNA is filed under the name Centipeda noxia. RNAcentral's name for it is "bacterial SSU rRNA". It matches the Rfam family "Bacterial small subunit ribosomal RNA", at positions 28 to 474 of the family's 1533-position model. Lineage: Bacteria; Bacillati; Bacillota; Negativicutes; Selenomonadales; Selenomonadaceae. The record is from RNAcentral.